GAUGAACGCUGGCGGCGUGCCUAAUACAUGCAAGUCGAGCGAACAGAUAAGGAGCUUGCUCCUUUGACGUUAGCGGCGGACGGGUGAGUAACACGUGGGUAACCUACCUAUAAGACUGGAAUAACUCCGGGAAACCGGGGCUAAUGCCGGAUAACAUUUAGAACCGCAUGGUUCUAAAGUGAAAGAUGGUUUUGCUAUCACUUAUAGAUGGACCCGCGCCGUAUUAGCUAGUUGGUAAGGUAACGGCUUACCAAGGCAACGAUACGUAGCCGACCUGAGAGGGUGAACGGCCACACUGGAACUGAGACACGGUCCAGACUCCUACGGGAGGCAGCAGUAGGGAAUCUUCCGCAAUGGGCGAAAGCCUGACGGAGCAACGCCGCGUGAGUGAUGAAGGUCUUCGGAUCGUAAAACUCUGUUAUUAGGGAAGAACAAAUGUGUAAGUAACUGUGCACGUUUUGACGGUACCUAAUCAGAAAGCCACGGCUAACUACGUG
This 497-nucleotide ribosomal RNA is filed under the name uncultured bacterium. RNAcentral's name for it is "partial 16S ribosomal RNA". It matches the Rfam family "Bacterial small subunit ribosomal RNA", at positions 28 to 507 of the family's 1533-position model. The record is from RNAcentral.